GUUUAUUUUGUAGUGUAUGCCUUGCCAAAUGUACAUUGAACUUUAAAUGUGUAAAUAUUUGAAUUUAUGCUUCUCAUGUAUCCCUUUUUACACUUCUCAGAACUUCGUACUACCUAGAGUCUGUAGUUUAUUGUGUGUCCUAACACGUUUAUAUGGUCGUUAGAUUACCUUUUUAUGUCACCAUACUCAAAUUGCACGUAGUACCUAAAUUGCAUCCUUUUAGUAAAAAUAACAGCUGAAACUUUACAAUUUUGUUUAGAGUCAAAACAAUUAUUCUCGUCUUUGGACAUAGCUAGAUAUAUUUAACUAUUGUAAAAGUAAAUUGUUGAGGUAAAACACUGAUUCUUGCUUCACAUUUUUUUUUAUAAAAUUUUCAAAGCUCAAUACAACCAGGAAUUUGUCGUUCAUUAUUGACCUUCCAAAAUGUACCUGGUAUCAUGAUGACCUUCUUAUGUGUAAAUAGUUAUCUAGUUUUUGAUGUUUUUUUUUUUUGUUUUUUUAAGUUAAUCACAAAUUAACGCUUCAUAUUUACCACUGUUUUUUUCAAAUUAUUAUAGGCCCAUACGACCUAGAGUGUGUCGUACAUUGCAUGUAUGGUCAAAUGAACAUUGUCAUAUGAUUACUUAUAAUUAUGAAAAAAGGUUAUUUUUUUUAAACAAUAUGUUAAUGUAUGCCUCAUACAUAUAUCUGGAAGAGUUUCAAAACACAAUUAUUGUUUUAUUUGGUGUUUCUAUAGCAUAUUUUGAGAACUUGAGUUUGCAUAGUUACUAAAGAUUGAACACAGGUUAAAAAGUAAAUUUGAUUGGUUAACUUCUAGUGAUUGUUAGAUUUGUAUAUGCAAUGAAACGUUAUUUGAAAGUUGUCUAAAGUUCUAGACAGAAUAAAAAUUUACUCAUGGCAAGUAUUUCUUCAUUUGAAUCAAAGAUGAACUCUUAACACUUUGUUUCAACGGCGGUAUUACACCGAGAGGUUUCUUACAUUGUAUGUUUAGCCAGCUGUAAAGGUCUUAUAUCAUGACCUUAACAAUUUUAGAAGGGUAAUCCUUUUUUUGAAGUAACAAACAAAUUUAAAUUAAUGUAUGUGAUAUGUCAAACCCGUUUUAAUGUAAUGUUUAUUUUCUAUUACUUAAGUAAUUUCAAAAAUAACUAACGUUAGAUUAAAAAUGUUUUAAUGCCACUAAAUUUAAAGUCGUGACAAAUAAUUCAAACAAUCAUUUGGACAUAAAUUGAAUAUUUAAUCAAGAUAUAGAGUUCUCAGGUGAAUCUGAGUUUAUUAUUCCUCCUGUUUCAGCUUAUCUAGACCGAAAGGCCAAGUGAGUUUUUCUCAUUACUUUGCGUCCGUCGUCCGUCGUCGUCGUCUAGCGUCGUCUGUUAACUUUUACAAAAAUCUUCCCUUCUGAAACUACUGGGCCAAAUUUAACCAAACUUAGCCACAAUCAUUAUUAGGGUAUCUAGUUUGAACAAUGUGUCCAGUGAACCAUCCAACCAACCAAGAUGACUCAAUGGCUAAAAAUAGAACAUAGGGGUAAGAUGUAGGCUUUGGCUAAUAACUCUGAAACCAAAGAGUUUAGAGCAAAUCUGACGUGAAUUAAAUUGUUUAUCAAGUCAAGAUCUAUCUGCCCUGAAAUUUUCGGAUGAAUCGGACAACCGGUUGUUGGGUUGCUGCCCCUGAAUUGGUAAUUUUAAGGAAAUUGUGCUGUUUUUGGUUAUCAUCUUGAAUAUUAAUAUAGAUAGAGAUAAACUGAAAACAGCACUAAUGUAUAGCACAGUAAGACCUACAAUGUACAAAUAAGUCAUAAUGAGCAAAAUGGUCAAUUGACCCCUAAAGGAGUUUAUAGUUCAAUUUAACAAUUUUCAUUUUUUUUUUGUCGCUGUAACUACUUGGCAAAGUGCACUAUAUAAAGAUAUAUUGUUAACAGCAAGAGUGUUCAGUAAAGCAAUGUCUACAAAACCAUCACCAUCAUCAAAAACACAAUUUUGUCAUUGUCUGUGUCCUUAAAAAUUUGAUUAAUAUGCACAUAGACAAAGGUGCGCGACACA
RNAcentral lists this long non-coding RNA (2039 nucleotides) under Mytilus galloprovincialis (Mediterranean mussel). The record is from RNAcentral. Lineage: Eukaryota; Metazoa; Mollusca; Bivalvia; Mytilida; Mytilidae.